GAAAAAGUCAUUUUUUUAAAGGUAAAAUCGAAAAUCAACUUUUUUUAACCUUAACAUUGAAAUCGAACAUACAAAAUGUAUUUGCACGAGGUCAAUAUAUCUAUGUUUAUUGAUGUUUAUGUGACCGUCGGUUGUUUUCUUGGUUACAUCAAUAGUUAAUUAGAUGGCGCCUAUAUACUAAAAUACACACGUAACGAAUCUACAUAUUAUCAAGCUCAUGCACUGCAAAUUGUUUAUUUUAAACUUUAUAAUUUGGAUAAAUGUGUUACCCUGUUAUGAAUAUAAUGUGAUAAUUUGAGUCAAAUCGUUGAACAUGCAUUUGACAGCUAGUGCCCCUUUAAUAUUUUUUAUUCAUUUAGACGUCCGACAGACAUUUGUCAUAGUUUUAAAAC
This 392-nucleotide long non-coding RNA is filed under the name Mytilus galloprovincialis (Mediterranean mussel). Lineage: Eukaryota; Metazoa; Mollusca; Bivalvia; Mytilida; Mytilidae. The record is from RNAcentral.